AAGGAGGCAAGGUGAUAUUUGCUGUUCUGGGACCCUUCAGCUGUCAGGCUUGUACUUUCUCAAGAGUGAGGACUUUGAAGGGACAAGUCUAAAAUCCCCACUGAUUGAAAUGCCGCUCUUCUUGACCAUCAGCAAGAAGUCACCAGAUGCAGCCCUUCAACCUUCGACUCCAGAACCAUAA
Castor canadensis (American beaver) is the source of this 181-nucleotide non-coding RNA. The record is from RefSeq and is a predicted model, not a curated record. NCBI's taxonomy places the organism in Eukaryota, Metazoa, Chordata, Mammalia, Rodentia, Castoridae.